CACGAGUUCUGCAACAACGUUUUUUGUUGGAGAUGGUGAAGGAAUCGUGACCGGUUCUCCUGCAUGAGAAGAAAAGUCGAGAACAGGACGCUCCCUUCUGUGUCAGCUCCACCUGCUGCGUCAGAAGGAUUUUCUUUAAAACUCGCCUGGUGCCACUUCUUGCAUCUUCUGUUACUGCGCUGACUCCACCCAUCUGGUGCUCCAGAAAAUGUGAUUGGCCACACCUGAAGACCAUGUGACACCUGCAGCUGAUCAGGCCUCGUCGGAGGAGCUACUUGAUAGUGUGGUGGAGCUCUCUCCGACGCUGGAUCAUUGCGUGGCUUCACGAGUAGCGAGAGACGAGAGGGCAGCGAGCAUGGGGUGCUCAUCACGGAGAAGCGGAGACAGGAGCACUAACACUGGGAAGAGGACACGUCACGGGAGUCGGGAGAGCACGGGAUUUAUUGUCAUGUUUUUCCAUCACUGUAAAUAAACGCACUGUUUAUACACAGAGCACCGCGCCUGGGUCC
This is a long non-coding RNA of Astatotilapia calliptera (eastern happy), 509 nucleotides long. Lineage: Eukaryota; Metazoa; Chordata; Actinopteri; Cichliformes; Cichlidae. The record is from Ensembl.